RNAcentral lists this ribosomal RNA (475 nucleotides) under uncultured bacterium. Its description in RNAcentral is "partial 16S ribosomal RNA". It matches the Rfam family "Bacterial small subunit ribosomal RNA", at positions 28 to 507 of the family's 1533-position model. The record is from RNAcentral.
GAUGAACGCUAGCGGCAGGCCUAACACAUGCAAGUCGAGGGAUAAGCCUUCGGGCUAAGACCGGCGCACGGGUGCGUAACGCGUAUACAAUCUGCCUUUUAUCCGGGGGAUAGCCCGAAGAAAUUUGGAUUAAUACCCUAUGGUAUAAGAGCACGGCAUCGUGCACUUAUUAAAGCUACGGCGGUAAAAGAUGAGUAUGCGUUCUAUUAGCUAGUUGGAGAGGUAACGGCUCCCCAAGGCGACGAUAGAUAGGGGUUCUGAGAGGGAUGUCCCCCACACUGGUACUGAGAUACGGACCAGACUCCUACGGGAGGCAGCAGUGAGGAAUAUUGGACAAUGGUCGGAAGACUGAUCCAGCCAUGCCGCGUGCAGGAUGACGGCCUUAUGGGUGGUAAACUGCUUUUGGAAGGGAAGAAUAAGGAGUACGUGUACUUUGAUGACGGUACCUUACGAAUAAGCAUCGGCUAACUCCGUG